This 75-nucleotide transfer RNA is filed under the name Chloroflexota bacterium. RNAcentral's name for it is "Chloroflexi bacterium (groundwater metagenome) tRNA-Pro". It matches the Rfam family "tRNA". From Rfam's summary of the family: Transfer RNA (tRNA) molecules are approximately 80 nucleotides in length. Their secondary structure includes four short double-helical elements and three loops (D, anti-codon, and T loops). Further hydrogen bonds mediate the characteristic L-shaped molecular structure. tRNAs have two regions of fundamental functional importance: the anti-codon, which is responsible for specific mRNA codon recognition, and the 3' end, to which the tRNAs corresponding amino acid is attached (by aminoacyl-tRNA synthetases). tRNAs cope with the degeneracy of the genetic code in two manners: having more than one tRNA (with a specific anti-codon) for a particular amino acid; and 'wobble' base-pairing, i.e. permitting non-standard base-pairing at the 3rd anti-codon position. The record is from RNAcentral. Lineage: Bacteria; Bacillati; Chloroflexota.
CGGGGCGUGGCGCAGCUCGGUCAGCGCGCAGCGUUCGGGACGCUGAGGCCGGCGGUUCAAAUCCGCCCGCCCCGA